RNAcentral lists this transfer RNA (73 nucleotides) under Araneus ventricosus. RNAcentral's name for it is "tRNA-Thr". The record is from RNAcentral. Lineage: Eukaryota; Metazoa; Arthropoda; Arachnida; Araneae; Araneidae.
AGCCACCAGCGAGAUUCGAACUCGCGACCCCUGGUUUACGACACCAGUGCUCUAACCUCUGAGCUAUGGUGGC